Molecule: ribosomal RNA, 253 nt
Filed under: uncultured bacterium
Lineage: Bacteria
Description: partial 16S ribosomal RNA
Rfam family: Bacterial small subunit ribosomal RNA
Source: RNAcentral
UACGGAGGGUGCAAGCGUUAAUCGGAAUUACUGGGCGUAAAGCGCACGCAGGUGGCUGAGUCAGUCGAUUGUGAAAGCCCUGGGCUUAACCUAGGAAUUGCAGUCGAUACUACUCAGCUAGAGUAUGGGAGAGGGCAGUGGAAUUCCCGGUGUAGCGGUGAAAUGCGUAGAUAUCGAGAGGAACACCUGCGGCGAAGGCGGGUUGCUGGGCUGACACUGACGCUGAUGCGCGAAAGCUAGGGGAGCGAACGGG